RNAcentral lists this ribosomal RNA (408 nucleotides) under uncultured bacterium. Its description in RNAcentral is "partial 16S ribosomal RNA". It matches the Rfam family "Bacterial small subunit ribosomal RNA", at positions 28 to 526 of the family's 1533-position model. The record is from RNAcentral.
GACGAACGCUGGCGGCGUGCUUAACACAUGCAAGUCGAACGAAGUGGCGAACGGGUGAGUAACGCGUAAUCAACCUGCCCUUCAGAGGGGGACAACAGUUGGAACCGACUGCUAAUACCGCAUACUGAAGGUGGUGAUUGCGUCUGAUUAGCUAGUUGGAGGGGUAACGGCCCACCAAGGCGAUGAUCAGUAGCAGGGCUGGGAGGAGGGACGGGCAAAUGGGGACUGAGACAAGGCCCAGACUACGACGGGAGGCAGCAGUGGGGAAUCUUCCGAAAUGGACGAAAGUCUGACGGAGCAACGCCGCGUGAGUGAUGACGGCCUUCGGGUUGUAAAGCUCUGUUAAUCGGGACGCGGUACCGGAAUAGAAAGCCACGGCUAACUACGUGCCAGCAGCCGCGGUAAUUC